AUUUGUGGCUAUACAUGCUUGUCAAAGCCUGAUCUCAUCAGAUCUCAGAGGCUAAGCAAGGCUGGGCCUGGUUAGUUCUUUGAUGGGAGACUGCUGGGAAUAUUAGGUGCCACAGUGG
Molecule: ribosomal RNA, 118 nt
Filed under: Periophthalmus magnuspinnatus
Lineage: Eukaryota; Metazoa; Chordata; Actinopteri; Gobiiformes; Gobiidae
Source: RNAcentral